UGCUCACAGCCUCCUUCCCUCUCUCCUUCUGCCUCAGAUGUGAAGUUCAUUUCCAAUCCGCCCUCCAUGGUGGCAGCGGGGAGCGUGGUGGCCGCAGUGCAAGGCCUGAACCUGAGGAGCCCCAACAACUUCCUGUCCUACUACCGCCUCACACGCUUCCUCUCCAGAGUGAUCAAGUGUGACCCGGACUGCCUCCGGGCCUGCCAGGAGCAGAUCGAAGCCCUGCUGGAGUCAAGCCUGCGCCAGGCCCAGCAGAACAUGGACCCCAAGGCCGCCGAGGAGGAGGAAGAGGAGGAGGAGGAGGUGGACCUGGCUUGCACACCCACCGACGUGCGGGACGUGGACAUCUGAGGGCUCCAGGCAGGCGGGCGCCACCGCCACCCGCAGCGAGGGCGGAGCCGGCCCCAGGUGCUCCCCUGACAGUCCCUCCUCUCCGGAGCAUUUUGAUACCAGAAGGGAAAGCUUCAUUCUCCUUG
This 476-nucleotide small RNA is filed under the name Pan troglodytes (chimpanzee). RNAcentral describes it as "retained intron". Lineage: Eukaryota; Metazoa; Chordata; Mammalia; Primates; Hominidae. The record is from RNAcentral.